UGGACUUGGGUGUUGCUGCUUGCCGUGGCUCACCUCAAAUGGUUCGUGCACCUCUUGGUUGGACAUAGUACGGCGUGAUAAGUGUCUUCGCCGGCGCCUCAGUAGAGGGUGGCCGAUCGGGAGCUCUGUGCUUCCAACCGUCCUCGGACAACGACUGACAACUUGACCUCAAAUCGAGUAGGACCACCCGCUGAACUUAA
Molecule: unclassified non-coding RNA, 200 nt
Filed under: soil metagenome
Description: partial contains internal transcribed spacer 2 and large subunit ribosomal RNA
Source: RNAcentral